This 498-nucleotide ribosomal RNA is filed under the name uncultured bacterium. Its description in RNAcentral is "partial 16S ribosomal RNA". It matches the Rfam family "Bacterial small subunit ribosomal RNA", at positions 29 to 523 of the family's 1533-position model. The record is from RNAcentral.
AUUGAACGCUGGCGGCAUGCCUUACACAUGCAAGUCGAACGGUAACGCGGGGCAACCUGGCGACGAGUGGCGAACGGGUGAGUAACGCAUCGGAACGUGCCCAGUAGUGGGGGGUAGCCCGGCGAAAGCCGGAUUAAUACCGCAUACGACCUACGGGUGAAAGGGGGGGAUCGCAAGACCUCUCGCUAUUGGAGCGGCCGAUGUCAGAUUAGGUAGUUGGUGGGGUAAAGGCCUACCAAGCCUGCGAUCUGGAGCUGGUCUGAGAGGACGACCAGCCACACUGGGACUGAGACACGGCCCAGACUCCUACGGGAGGCAGCAGUGGGGAAUUUUGGACAAUGGGCGCAAGCCUGAUCCAGCCAUGCCGCGUGCGGGAAGAAGGCCUUCGGGUUGUAAACCGCUUUUGUCAGGGAAGAAAAGCCUUGGGUUAAUACCCUGGGGUGAUGACGGUACCUGAAGAAUAAGCACCGGCUAACUACGUGCCAGCAGCCGCAGUAA